RNAcentral lists this ribosomal RNA (796 nucleotides) under uncultured bacterium. RNAcentral's name for it is "bacterial SSU rRNA". It matches the Rfam family "Bacterial small subunit ribosomal RNA", at positions 88 to 896 of the family's 1533-position model. The record is from RNAcentral.
GGGGGAAGUGGCGAAAGGGGCAGUAAGGCGUGGGUAACUUGCCCCGGGGCCAGGAAUAGCCAUCCUAACGGAUGGGUAAUACUGGAUGUCGUGGCUGGGUGGCAUCACCUGGCCAGGAAAGAUUUAUCACCCCGGGAGAGGCUCACGUAGUAUUAGCUAGUUGGUGAGGUAACGGCUCACCAAGGCCAAGAUGCUUAGCAGGUGUGAGAGCACGACCUGCGCCACUGGCACUGAGACACUGGCCAGACUCCUACGGGAGGCUGCAGUCGAGGAUCUUCGGCAAUGGGCGCAAGCCUGACCGAGCGACGCCGCGUGUGCGAUGAAGGCCUUCGGGUUGUAAAGCACUGUCGAGGGGGAGAAAAGGGCAACCUUGAUCGACCCCUGGAGGAAGCACGGGCUAAGUUCGUGCCAGCAGCCGCGGUAAGACGAACCGUGCGAACGUUGUUCGGAAUCACUGGGCUUAAAGGGCGCGUAGGCGGGCGGUCAAGUCAGAGGUGAAAUCCCACGGCUCAACCGUGGAAGUGCCCCUGAUACUGAUCGUCUCGAGGGAGGUAGGGGCGUGCGGAACUUCCGGUGGAGCGGUGAAAUGCGUAGAUAUCGGAAGGAACACCGAUGGCGAAAGCAGCGCGCUGGAUCUCUACUGACGCUGAGGCGCGAAAGCCAGGGGAGCAAACGGGAUUAGAUACCCCGGUAGUCCUGGCCCUAAACGUUGGGUACUAGGUAGUGGACUUACAUGGGUUCACUGCCGAAGCAAAAGUGUUAAGUACCCCGCCUGGGGAGUAUGGUCGCAAGGCUG